Oncorhynchus keta (chum salmon) is the source of this 151-nucleotide long non-coding RNA. RefSeq lists it as uncharacterized. The record is from RefSeq and is a predicted model, not a curated record. The transcript is spliced from 3 exons. NCBI's taxonomy places the organism in Eukaryota, Metazoa, Chordata, Actinopteri, Salmoniformes, Salmonidae.
CAGAGCAGGUUAAUGAGGUGUGACUACCCAUCUGGAAUUACACAGAGCAGGUUAAUGAGGUGUGACCACCCAUCUGGAAUUACACAGAGCAGGUUAAUGAGGUGUGACUACCCAUCUGGAAUGACACAGAGCAGGAUAAUGAGGUGUGACU